GACGAACGCUGGCGGCGUGCUUAACACAUGCAAGUCGAACGGAAAGGCCCUGCUUUUGUGGGGUGCUCGAGUGGCGAACGGGUGAGUAACACGUGAGUAACCUGCCCUUGACUUUGGGAUAACUUCAGGAAACUGGGGCUAAUACCGGAUAGGAGCUCCUGCUGCAUGGUGGGGGUUGGAAAGUUUCGGCGGUUGGGGAUGGACUCGCGGCUUAUCAGCUUGUUGGUGGGGUAGUGGCUUACCAAGGCUUUGACGGGUAGCCGGCCUGAGAGGGUGACCGGCCACAUUGGGACUGAGAUACGGCCCAGACUCCUACGGGAGGCAGCAGUGGGAAUAUUGCACAAUGGGCGGAAGCCUGAUGCAGCAACGCCGCGUGCGGGAUGACGGCCUUCGGGUUGUAAACCGCUUUCGCCUGUGACGAAGCGUGAGUGACGGUAAUGGGUAAAGAAGCGCCGGCUAACUACGUG
Molecule: ribosomal RNA, 467 nt
Filed under: uncultured bacterium
Lineage: Bacteria
Description: partial 16S ribosomal RNA
Rfam family: Bacterial small subunit ribosomal RNA
Source: RNAcentral